CCCCAACCGACACCCACCCAGUUUACCUACAGUCAGAACAAUAUUUCAAUCUUCUGAAACCAAAUGGCUGUCAAUCAAUUGAAUGAUGUCCGGGAGCAGUUUGUCAGCCUGGUGACAGAGGCUAAUAUCAAGGCUCUACUAGACAGACUUCAGCAUCCACAUGAAGGCAGAAGAUUUAUCAACAAGUUCGAGGCAGAAGAGACCCCUCCAGCCAGAUAUUGAACACACCGGCACAUGUCCUCACAAGCCAAAGGGCACUAGGUCAGUACUACUUACCCAUUUCACUUCUCCUAGGCCAGCUCAAUUUCAAAUAGAAUAGCCCUGUUUACAUAGAUAUAGCACUGCUAUGCCUGUUUAUACUGUUUAUAUGAAAAAUGUGAUAAAAAAACGUGAUCUACUUUAUCAAACACUGUAUAAUGCUCAGUAAAUUCUGUUGGUAUAUCAUAAUAUUUACAAAAUGCACAAUAAUUUGCUAUUUUGUUCGGGG
Long non-coding RNA from Oncorhynchus tshawytscha (Chinook salmon), 487 nucleotides. NCBI's taxonomy places the organism in Eukaryota, Metazoa, Chordata, Actinopteri, Salmoniformes, Salmonidae. The record is from Ensembl.